This 464-nucleotide ribosomal RNA is filed under the name uncultured Streptococcus sp. RNAcentral describes it as "bacterial SSU rRNA". It matches the Rfam family "Bacterial small subunit ribosomal RNA", at positions 920 to 1382 of the family's 1533-position model. The record is from RNAcentral. Lineage: Bacteria; Bacillati; Bacillota; Bacilli; Lactobacillales; Streptococcaceae.
CCCGCACAAGCGGUGGAGCAUGUGGUUUAAUUCGAAGCAACGCGAAGAACCUUACCAGGUCUUGACAUCCCUGACAACCCGAGAGAUCGGGCGUUCCCCCUUCGGGGGGACAGGGUGACAGGUGGUGCAUGGUUGUCGUCAGCUCGUGUCGUGAGAUGUUGGGUUAAGUCCCGCAACGAGCGCAACCCUCGACCUUAGUUGCCAGCAUUCAGUUGGGCACUCUAAGGUGACUGCCGGCUAAAAGUCGGAGGAAGUGGGGAUGACGUCAAAUCAUCAUGCCCCUUAUGACCUGGGCUACACACGUGCUACAAUGGUUGGUACAACGAGUUGCGAGUCGGUGACGGCGAGCUAAUCUCUUAAAGCCAAUCUCAGUUCGGAUUGUAGGCUGCAACUCGCCUACAUGAAGUCGGAAUCGCUAGUAAUCGCGGAUCAGCACGCCGCGGUCGAAUACGUUCCCGGGCCUU